ACACCUCAACUCUCAUGGUUUGCCGUGAUGAGCUUGGACUUUGGGGGUCUUGCUGGCCUAUGGUCAGCUCCUCUCAAAUGGAUCAGCUUGCCAGUGUUUGGUGGCAUCGCAGGUGUGAUAACUAUCUACGCUUGUGGUCUCCCACCAGGUAACUCUCAGCAAUGGGGGUUCGCUGGAGCUCAUAAAUGUCUCUCCUCAGUGAGGACAGCUUUUGAAC
This 217-nucleotide unclassified non-coding RNA is filed under the name uncultured Tomentella. Its description in RNAcentral is "sequence contains ITS2". Lineage: Eukaryota; Fungi; Basidiomycota; Agaricomycetes; Thelephorales; Thelephoraceae. The record is from RNAcentral.